GUUUAUUGCUGAAGGGAACAUCGGAUAAAAUUCGAACAAUGCAGAGAAGAUUGGCAUGGCCCCUGUGCAAGGAUGACACGCACAAAUCAAGAAAUAACCAAACUUUUC
Molecule: non-coding RNA, 108 nt
Organism: Nicotiana attenuata
Lineage: Eukaryota; Viridiplantae; Streptophyta; Magnoliopsida; Solanales; Solanaceae
Source: Rfam